ACGGCUCAGUAACACGUGGAUAACCUGCCCUAUGCUCUGGGAUAACCUCGGGAAACUGAGAAUAAUACCGGAUAGAUCACAACGCCUGGAACGGUGUGUGGUUGAAAGGUUACGGCAUAGGAUGGGUCUGCGGCGUAUCAGGUUGUAGGGGGUGUAAUGGACCCCCUAGCCAUCGACGCGUACGGGUGUUGGGAGACAUAGCCCGGAGACGGAUUCUGAGACACGAAUCCGGACCCUACGGGGUGCAGCAGGCGCGAAAACUUCACACUGCAGGAAACUGUGAUGAGGGAACUCCAAGUGGAUGCACAUAGUGUAUCUCUUUUCUUUACUAUUAAUCGGUAUUGGAAUAAGGGCUGGGAAAGACCGGUGCCAGCCGCCGCGGUAAUACCGGCAGCUCGAGUGGUCGUCGCUUUUAUUGGGCCUAAAACGUCCGUAGCCGGUUUGGUAAAUCCGUGGGUAAAUCAACUAGCUUAACUAGUUGAAUUCUGCAGAGACUGCCAGACUAGGAACCGGGAGAGGUGUGGGGUACUCAAGGGGUAGGGGUAAAAUCCUGUCAUCCUUUGAGGACCACCAGUUGCGAAGGCGCCACACUAGAACGGAUUCGACGGUCAGGGACGAAGCCUAGGGGCACGAACCGGAUUAGAUACCCGGGUAGUCCUAGGUGUAAACGCUGUGAACUUGGUGUCGGGAGUCCGCAAUGGGCCCCCGGUGCCGGAGUGAAGAUGUUAAGUUCACUGCCUGGGGAGUACGGUCGCAAGGCUGAAACUUAAAGGAAUUGGCGGGGGAGCAC
This 790-nucleotide ribosomal RNA is filed under the name uncultured archaeon. RNAcentral's name for it is "bacterial SSU rRNA". It matches the Rfam family "Archaeal small subunit ribosomal RNA", at positions 85 to 879 of the family's 1478-position model. The record is from RNAcentral.